GAUGAACGCUGGCGGCGUGCCUAAUACAUGCAAGUCGAGCGAACGGACGAUAAGCUUGCUUCUCUGAUGUUAGCGGCGGACGGGUGAGUAACACGUGGAUAACCUACCUAUAAGACUGGUAUAACUUCGGGAAACCGGAUCUAAUACCGUAUAAUAUUUUGAACCGCAUGGUUCAAAAGUGAAAGACGGUCUUUCUGUCACUUAUAGAUGCAUCCGCGCUGCAUUAGCUAGUUGUUAAGUUAACGGCUUACCAAGGCAACGAUGCAUAGACGACCUGAGAGGGUGAUAGGCCACACUGGAACUGAGACACGGUCCAGACUCCUACGGGAGGCAGCAGUAGGGAAUCUUCCGCAAUGGGCGAAAGCCUGACGGAGCAACGCCGCGUGAGUGAUGAAGGUCUUCGGAUCGUAAAACUCUGUUAUUAGGGAAGAACAUAUGUGUAAGUAACUGUGCACAUCUUGACGGUACCUAAUCAGAAAGCCACGGCUAACUACGUG
RNAcentral lists this ribosomal RNA (497 nucleotides) under uncultured bacterium. RNAcentral describes it as "partial 16S ribosomal RNA". It matches the Rfam family "Bacterial small subunit ribosomal RNA", at positions 28 to 507 of the family's 1533-position model. The record is from RNAcentral.